GACGAACGCUGGCGGCGUGCCUAAUACAUGCAAGUAGAACGCUGAAGAGAGGAGCUUGCUCUUCUUGGAUGAGUUGCGCACGGGUGAGUAACGCGUAGGUAACCUGCCUUGUAGCGGGGGAUAACUAUUGGAAACGAUAGCUAAUACCGCAUAACAAUGGAUGACACAUGUCAUUUAUUUGAAAGGGGCAAUUGCUCCACUACAAGAUGGACCUGCGUUGUAUUAGCUAGUAGGUGAGGUAACGGCUCACCUAGGCGACGAUACAUAGCCGACCUGAGAGGGUGAUCGGCCACACUGGGACUGAGACACGGCCCAGACUCCUACGGGAGGCAGCAGUAGGGAAUCUUCGGCAAUGGGGGCAACCCUGACCGAGCAACGCCGCGUGAGUGAAGAAGGUUUUCGGAUCGUAAAGCUCUGUUGUAAGUCAAGAACGAGUGUGAGAGUGGAAAGUUCACACUGUGACGGUAGCUUACCAGAAAGGGACGGCUAACUACGUG
RNAcentral lists this ribosomal RNA (497 nucleotides) under uncultured bacterium. RNAcentral describes it as "partial 16S ribosomal RNA". It matches the Rfam family "Bacterial small subunit ribosomal RNA", at positions 28 to 507 of the family's 1533-position model. The record is from RNAcentral.